RNAcentral lists this ribosomal RNA (446 nucleotides) under uncultured bacterium. Its description in RNAcentral is "partial 16S ribosomal RNA". It matches the Rfam family "Bacterial small subunit ribosomal RNA", at positions 338 to 795 of the family's 1533-position model. The record is from RNAcentral.
GCUACGGGAGGCAGCAGUCGAGAAUCAUUCACAAUGGGGGAAACCCUGAUGGUGCGACGCCGCGUGGGGGAAUGAAGGUCUUCGGAUUGUAAACCCCUGUCAUGUGGGAGCAAAUUAAAAAGAUAGUACCACAAGAGGAAGAGACGGCUAACUCUGUGCCAGCAGCCGCGGUAAUACAGAGGUAUCAAGCGUUGUUCGGAAUCACUGGGCGUAAAGCGUGCGUAGGCUGUUUCGUAAGUCGUGUGUGAAAGGCGCGGGCUGAACCCGCGGACGGCACAUGAUACUGCGAGACUAUAGAGAUGGAGGGGGAACUGGAAUUCUCGGUGUAGCAGUGAAAUGCGUAGAUAUAAGGAAGAACACCAGUGGCGAAGGCGGAUUACUGGACGAUAACUGACGGUGAGGCGCGAAAGCGUGGGGAGCAAACAGGAUUAGAUACCCGAGUAGUC